RNAcentral lists this unclassified non-coding RNA (3888 nucleotides) under Cyanidioschyzon merolae strain 10D. RNAcentral describes it as "hypothetical transcript". Lineage: Eukaryota; Rhodophyta; Bangiophyceae; Cyanidiales; Cyanidiaceae. The record is from RNAcentral.
AUGAUGCAGCGCGGCUAGCGCACGCGUUCUCAGCAACCGCUGCUGGUACGACUCCAGUCCCAAGGAUGCUUCCUGGCGUGAUUGUGGCCGCAGCCGAAGCCGCAGCAGCUGCGUGGGGCGAAAGCGGCGAUAUGCGCGCAUAGCUCCAUGGGCCCCAGUCUGCUUGAGGCUGCUCCAAGAACGUUCCUCUCAUUGGGGCCAGGUAAAACGAGUGCCCGAACGGGUCUAGGUGCUGAUCAGAUUCAUCAUUGCUGGGAGUACCAAGAACAGAGCAACCAGCUGCACCGGUAGGCGCGACACACAGCGAGCUGCUGAAUCCUCCAGGGUGCUGCUCGCAGACCUCUCCGCCUGGAAUCUCCAGCGGCGGGAGCAGCCUCUGGCGAGCGCGUACACCCCGCAAGGCAUCUUGCGUUGCUAUCGCUCGAGACGGUGACCUUGUCGCUGCGAACAUGAGCGGUGUCGGUGUCGGUAUCGGUGUCGGCGGUACUGCUGUAGCGCACUGCUCCAUUGGGGUAGAGGGCGCUCGGCUCAAAGCUCGUGUCGUUUGUGGUGCGCAUGUCGAUGCUACCGACAACGAAGUCGAUGCUGAUGUUGACGACGACGACGACGACGACGAUGGCGGCGGCGGCGGCGGUACAUGCAAGGCAUCCGUUGUCCUCGUUGCCGACAGGAAGCGUAGCAGCUCUGCAACGACCUCGUUGUGGCCAUGCUGCGCAGCCAGGUGAACCGCAGUCUGUCCGUUCAUGUUCGCUGCGUGCGCAUUGACGGCGGGCAGUACACCAGCGCCCCGAAUCCAAGCUGCAACCUGCAGCAAAAGGCGCACGCUUUCCGUCUUACCGUACUUGGCUGCGAUCAUAAGCGGCGUGUUCCCAUCCUGUGCAUCGGGCAUGUCAAGCACAUCGGCGGCAUCCCAGAGCGGUACGCCCUGUGCCACCGGUGGUAAACCCAAGCACGCGCGCACGUCUGUGACCGUGAUGAGUUCGCGCAGCACUUCGACAUGGCCAUAGCGUGCAGCGAAAGUCGCCGCCGUCCACCCUCGAGUGGAAGUUCUGCGCCUAGGAUCGACACCGUCCCACAACGAGAGCAAAUGGCGUACACAUUUCGCGUGCCCGUGCUGCGCUGCGAGCAUGAGCGCGGUGGCGCCCUCACCACAUGGUGCAUCGAGCACUGCCUGAAGCCACCGCUUUGCUGUGAUAGUGACUGUCCCAUUGGAGUCUGUGCCUGUCGUAAGGAGUGCAGAUACCCUAUGUUUCGCGAAUUCGACCAGGAGCGCAACCACAGCCUCUUGACCGUGCUUCGCCGCGACGUGAAUCGGCGUCAUCCGCUUCCAAUCAGCGGCAACGAGGUCCGCUUCGAUUCGGACGAGCUCUUCGCCACCGUUCUUCAGCGCCGAUUCGAGAAUGGUCUGCACAACCUGAAUAUGGCCAAAGCGGCAUGCGUAGUGCAGCGGAGUUGAGUUCUUCUUCCGAGACGGCGACACUGGGCCUUGAAUGGCGGUCAGGGACGAGUAAUUCGUGGUCGCCGAAGUUGGCGUGCUGAUCGUGGACAACGGUGACGCCAGAGGGCAUGUGCCUGCGCCCGCCGUUGCCAGCGGGCUUGGUUGCACUGCGCACACCAACCCUGGCGCCAGCGCUUGCGCAGCGGCAGGCGCGCACUUCACAUACUGGAGCCCAGCGGAGACGCACGCAGUGGUGCCGCUUUCGCUGCCGGUGUGCUCGCCUCGGAACGUGAACGCUGGGUCAGUUCGCUCAUCGAUGGAGCAUAGAGGCGGCGUUAUCUCGGCGGGCGCAGUUGCUCCACAGCGACUCUGUCUGAGCCCGGCGAUAUGCCCCGCGAACGUCUGCUCGUUCCGUGUACUGACGGCAGCGGCGCUUGCAAACGCGGGCGCAUUUGGGUUCGGUGCUCCCGUUGCCUUCGCCGACGCUCCCUGGAUGGCUGCAUUCGCGUACGGAGUAUGAACGUCCGCAGGGAUUCCCGAUACCGUUGCCGACGCCGGCGGUAGGCAGUUCGUCUCGAAAGCGCGGUUUCGGAGUGAACUUGCUUGAAACGCCUCUGCGACCCGAGAGGCACGCAGGCCGCCGACCCGAGCACAUCCAGCCGAACGCUCAGCGCCCGCUCCCGGCAAUCUACGAGCCACGCUGGGCAAGGGCUUGCGUUCUGCUUGGGACCUAUGUAUGGCAUCUUUGUGAAAUCUCUGCUCCUCGUUUGAAGCUAGCGAUUGCUCUGACCCGAGAGCAUUCCGGACCGAGAAGUGACCAUUGAUAUAGCUGCCAGUGCUGCUGGGUAUACGCUCCGUGCUUUGCGUUCCCAUCCGAGGCUCGCCCGAUGGUCGCCGUUCCAGACGCUCUGACGAUACGGGCUUUGCGCCCAGCACACCCGGAGUUCCAGCUCCGUGCUCCAUUGUGCAAUCCAAUGUUCCCAGAUGCAAUCUAUAUGCUAGCAACGAAGAAGUAGUAGGCUUCAAAGAAGCGAUGUCAACCGUCUCUUACCAGUAAGAGUCGGACAAAGCACUCAGCACAAAACGAAGCAGAACGAAACGGUGGCACUUGCGCUGCAGCGUGCCAGAGUGCGUGUCCAGCUGUCAGACACCGUCGUCACUUACGCGUCCGCUCUGAAAGCUGGACACGAACUUGCCCAAGGGCCUUGGCGAGAACGCGUCUUCGUUCCAAAAGCCUACUUUCGUAUGCCCAGUUUCCGAGGCUCCUUCACUAUAAGAGAGCAAAGUCACAACCAAAGUCGUUGAUUUGUUGCAACUUUCCCGCAACGUACCAAACUCGCGACUCUGCGUCUUGGUUGCGCUUUCACCAACUCGAUUCCAGUAGCUGGAGGCUAGUGUCCACAAAAAGCACAAGUCCGACGUGAAACUCGUUCUACGCAGGUAGAGAUGCUCCCAGAGGUCCGCACCGUCGUCGAGUCACCCCGAGGGCGUUGUCGGGUUUCGCGAACGAAGGAAUAUGUCGCAGUAGCAACGAGUUCCUUUCGAAUCCGAAACCUACGCCUCGUCAGUGUGUUUGGCCCGUCGAUAUCAAGUAUGCGUUUCCCCGUAUAUGAUAUGACGUAACGGCACAAUUGUCUGUUACUCGAAGAGCGAGCGACGCACGGACCGAUGCGCGGGAAAAACCGACGGAACGGAUGCGUGCACCGCCGUGACGCAGCGUCGAUUUCUCCUUCGACGACACGCAUUCGAUUUUGUGACACUUUAAUGUAACGCUCGCGGGAGCGCGCGCGGCCACCCCGCGGGGAUUUCGAUUACAUAGAGGUUAUAGAGUUUCAUGUCAAUUGUGUUCCACUGCCAGGUGCAAGUACGCAACUGGUGUUUCGCGGUUCAUAGAAGAUGUAUUCGGAGUGCGUUCAGUUCAAGAAAUAAAUACGCUAGAGGCAAUGGUUUCGACAUGGGGUUCGUGGAUCCCAGAGGCCCCGUAUUGCAGGUUUCGACAAAAAAAGUGAAAAAAUUCCUCUUCUUACGGAGCGUCGAGCAAAGAAGAGCGAUUGACGAAGAAGCAGAAGGGGCGAACUGGGCGAGAAGAGGUAUUUUCCGGACGGUGCGAAAAUGAGACUCAUGUCAUACAUAGGACGCUAGUCUUACGAAUACUUGCAUCGGUGAGUUCAACCAGAGGCAAUGAACGCAAUGAGUUCGUGAACCGGGAAUCUCACACCGUCAUUAAAAUCAGAAAAUGUGCGGUGCUGAACAUGAGAUUCGAGGAGCUGACGCGAUCGAAGUAACUUGGGCAGCCUCUGGUACUCGACGUGUCCAGAAAUAUUCUGAAACCGAUAAAAGUCGGCCGGUCAACGAAGGCGGGGAGGCGUAUGCGCGUGCGUAUACAUACAUAGCCUCCGUGGUCGUAGAACGUCUAUUGGUUUCACGAAACAUCGUAUAAAUGGAGCAGG